GGGACAGAUGAUUAGGGUGAAGUCGUAACAAGGUAGCCGUAGGAGAACCUGCGGCUGGAUCACCUCCUUU
Molecule: non-coding RNA, 70 nt
Filed under: Weissella oryzae SG25
Lineage: Bacteria; Bacillati; Bacillota; Bacilli; Lactobacillales; Lactobacillaceae
Description: Bacterial small subunit ribosomal RNA
Rfam family: Bacterial small subunit ribosomal RNA
Source: Rfam by way of RNAcentral